AGAUGUGAAAGCCCCGGGCUUAACCUGGGAGUGGCAUUUGAGACUGGCAGGCUAGAGUCUUGUAGAGGGGGGUAGAAUUCCAGGUGUAGCGGUGAAAUGCGUAGAGAUCUGGAGGAAUAUCGGUGGCGAAGGCGGCCCCCUGGACAAAGACUGACGCUCAGAUGCGAAAGCGUGGGUAGCAAACAGGAUUAGAUACCCUGGUAGUCCACGCCGUAAACGAUGUCUACUUGAAGGUUGGGAUCUUGAAUUCUGGCCUUCGGAGCUAACGCGUUAAGUAGACCGCCUGGGGAGUACGGUCGCAAGAUUAAAACUCAAAUGAAUUGACGGGGGCCCGCACAAGCGGUGGAGCAUGUGGUUUAAUUCGAUGCAACGCGAAGAACCUUACCUACUCUUGACAUCCAGAGAAGCCAGCAGAGAUGCAGGUGUGCCUUCGGGAGCUNUGAGACAGGUUCUGCAUGGCUGUCGUCAGCUCGUGUUGUGAAAUGUUGGGUUAAGUCCCGCAACGAGCGCAACUCUUAUCCUUGUUUGCCAGCACGUAAUGGUGGGAACUCCAGGGAGACUGCCGGUGAUAAACCGGAGGAAGGUGGGGACGACGUCAAGUCAUCAUGGCCCUUACGAGUAGGGCUACACACGUGCUACAAUGGUGCAUACAGAGGGAAGCAAGAGCGCGAGCUGGAGCGGAUCCCAAAAAGUGCAUCGUAGCCCGGAUUGGAGUCUGCAACUCGACUCCAUGAAGUCGGAAUCGCUAGUAAUCGUGGAUCAGAAUGCCACGGUGAAUACGUUCCCGGGCCUUGUACACACCGCCCGUCAUC
This 812-nucleotide ribosomal RNA is filed under the name uncultured Photobacterium sp. RNAcentral's name for it is "bacterial SSU rRNA". It matches the Rfam family "Bacterial small subunit ribosomal RNA", at positions 590 to 1401 of the family's 1533-position model. The record is from RNAcentral. Lineage: Bacteria; Pseudomonadati; Pseudomonadota; Gammaproteobacteria; Vibrionales; Vibrionaceae.